Molecule: long non-coding RNA, 2958 nt
Organism: Schistocerca serialis cubense
Lineage: Eukaryota; Metazoa; Arthropoda; Insecta; Orthoptera; Acrididae
Exons: 4
Source: RefSeq, a predicted model, not a curated record
ACCUUGGUGCUACUGUUGUGACCGGCUUGACGAUAAAUUUAGUCUUGCAAACGUGUGUGGUCGGUUGUGCUCGAUAAAAUUCAAAACAAAAUUGUGAUAUUUACAUGUCUACUGGCUAUUUAUAGUUACGGCAGUUACAUGAAUUGGCCCUGUGAACACGACUCGAUUCCAGGAAGUGAACAUUGGUCAACGUUAAUUAUUUGCCCAUUUGUCGCUUCCUCGUGUCCUCGUGUUGCCGGGAAGGAAGACCCACUGGUUGAUUUCGCACCUGUUUAUAAGAAUCACUUUGCUCCAGACCAGUUUGAACCGACAGACUUGGUGAAGUGGUAAAACGUAAGCCAAAUGCUUUGCCAACCAUUUUUGGUGAUCGUAAAGCUCUUGCCGAGAGGAAACCUGUUGGCCUACUAGAGAAACGGACUGAGGAUACAGAGGUUGAGAAGCCUUCGAAUGUGACCAAUGACAUCAGUCCUGCAGCGAACUUGGACACAACAGAAGAUGAAGUCACCACCCCGAAGAACCUAGCUUCAGGCUGGAAUUGAAGCUUUAAAGAGAAAACUCAUCGUCUCUCAGCAGUAUGAACAAAGGGGACAUUAAAGGUAGCAAAUGGUCAGUGGAAACACUGCAGAAAGGGCUAAAAAUUAGACCACCUUGUAGUAGUAUGGGGUACAAAGUCCUGCUGGAAAAUAAAUUACCAUUUCCUUCAGAUAGAGCCCCAAUAUGUUCGCUACAGAGCAUUCAAUUUAGACCUAGUGUGCUGAGGGAGCUCGUGAGUUCCCUGAAAGUCAAGCUUGCCCUCAUGUUACCAGUGGAGAUGCAUGCUCUUCUCCUGAUGGAUGAGGUUAGUAUCACUCACCAUUGGAAUGUGAUUGAGCAUUGGCUGCACCAUUGAUAAUGAUACGACACCUCCACCAGAUCUCGCCCUUGCAAAAACUACAGCUUCUAAUGCAUUAGUUCUUAUGCUGGGUGGUAUUACCUCAAGAUGGAAACAAACAAUUGGUUACCAUUACACAGGGCCAUCUUUUUCCAGUUCUCACGCCAGACAUCAUUAUAAGCUGUAUUAGGGAGUCUUAGGCACUCGUACAAUGUUCGCUGCAUCGCGUCAGUGACGGGAGGGCAAAAUUGAGCUGUAUGGCGAGAAUUUGCAAUUGUUGUCGAAAGGUUUUCAAAAUUAGUUUCUGCCAGUGUGUUUGUGACGAUAAUUGGAAACUAAUUUUCCUUACAGAUACACCACACAUUUUGAAAAACGAGGGUUCACUUAGUCAAUGGGCAAUCGGACUUCCUCUGACGAAAUGUUGUCGAGGGACGUGAUCUGCCUUGUAAUGAGGUACAUAUAAAUCGUGUAUAACAGUGGCUUGAGGUAGACAGUGGUUUAAGUCUUAAACUGACACCAAAACUGUGUGAGGGAUUUCUGAGGCCAAACCAUUACAAGAAAAUGAAAGUUGGAUCGUCUACUGCCAUAAUGAACAGCCAGACUGCAGCAGCCAGUGAGUAUGCUGUCAAGACAGAGAAACUGCAGAGAAAUACUUUAACCACAGCACGGUUUCUAAAGCACAUUCGUAAGUGGUCUUGCCUCAUGACAUCCAGAGCUCCAGUUAUGCCUCUGAGUCGUUCUGAUCAACAAACAUACAGUGAGGCUCUCUGCCAUCUUCAGGACACUCUGUGAUUAUUUGGAAACUUGAAAAUUGGCCUGAACAGUGCCUGGAAACCAGUUCAGUGUGGUGUAGUUUUGACAGUUGGAGGUAUUUUGGAAUUGCAGAACACAUUCCUGAAUGAGGAGAAAUUUAAAUUUUUGCUAAUAAGUAGAUUUACACAAGAUACCUUGGAAAAUCUGUCAGCAAUGCUCCACUUCCAAAAUCCAGUAGCAACGCUACGAGAAGUAAAAUCGUCACUGAGGGUUAUUACUCUUUCUCAGUUCUUUAAUACUGCCACUGAUAAUAAUCAAAUUAAGACAGUAGUUUGCAGGCAGAACUACUGGGUGAAUCUGUAAGUGAAGACAAUGAUAAGUGUGCUGAGGAAGUUGGAGAGCCACUUUGUAACAUGGUGUGUGACGAAGAGCAGCAGUCUCAAUACUAUUUGUGUGGUCACACUGUCAGGCAGGUUAUGAAGUGUCAUGCACUUUGCAAAUUUUGCGAGGAGCACCUAAUAGCGUGCAAAGAAAAUCUCUGUACCUGUGUGAACGUGCUUUUACAUCUGAAGUCCUUCACAGAUACCUCACUUAUUGAGCCAUCAAGUGAGGUCUUAAGUGUGUUGCAAAAGGCAGAGAUGUGUUUGAGAAGCAACAAGAAGAAAUUACUCACAGGUGAAUUGUUGCUCUCUGAUGCAGCCACUGCAGUGCCUGCAUCAGUGAAGGAGAAAGUAGUUUUCCCAGCCUGCCACAGUGUACAGGAGAAAAUAAUUCAUCACAGUUUCCUGGCAACAAGAAUUCAUCUGGUUCCAAGGGAGGGAAAUAAAAGAUAUCACGGUGUAGUGACACAAGGCAGUAGAAGCAGGCCAUGACAAAGUUACUGCAGAAACUGUGAGUCCCAAAAUCACUCUUUAGUAAAUGAUUUGAAAAAUUGACAUCCAAACUUCAUUUGGUUGCCAUUUUCUCUUCAAGUGGUCUCAUUUUUGUUUAAAUCACAGUGAUUUUUAUAAAUUUUUGUUCUAUGUUUCUUUCUGAGUAUGGAGUACUUUUAUUAUAUCAUAUAUUAUUUGCAAGUAAACUAUGUCACUCUCCAGGUUUCAGAUUGAUGCAUAUAUAAAUAAAAACUUCACCCUUCUGACCUGUGUACAUAUUUGACUUCUGUGCUUUGCCACCAACUUUGUGUCUUCCUUGUGCUUCAUUUAUGUCGUUUAUUUUUUUCUCUGGAUUUUAAUAGCUUUUUAUACAUACAGUGUACCCAUAUUUUAUAUAAUAUUGUAGAGAGGAAAAAAGUAUACAUUCACUCAGUAAGAACAUUAGCUUGUACUCUAUACUCU